CACCUCUAGCAAAUAAAACAUGUAUUAUAGGCACUGCCUGCCCAGUGACACCUAGUUUAACGGCCGCGGUAUUCUGACCGUGCAAAGGUAGCAUAAUCACUUGUCUUUUAAAUAAAGACUAGUAUGAAUGGCAAAACGAAAACUUAACUGUCUCCUUAAUCUAGUCAAUGAAAUUGAUCUUCUUGUACAAAAGCAAGAAUAAAAAAAUAAGACGAGAAGACCCUAUGGAACUUAAGUUAUUAUACACUUAAAUAUACCAUAAAUAAUAAUUGAAAUACUAACUUUGGUUGGGGCAACCACGGAGAAUAAUUAUCCUCCGAGAAACACAAGCUAAAUUAAACAAAAUUAAGUACCAGAAAUCUAUAAUUAGACCCAAUAUAUUUGAUCAACGAACCAAGCUACCCUAGGGAUAACAGCGCAAUCUUCUUCACGAGCCCUUAUUAUCAAGAAGGUUUACGACCUCGAUGUUGGAUCAGGAUAUCCUUACAGUGCAGCUGCUGUUAAUGGUUUGUUUGUUCAACAAUUAAAAUCCUACGUGAUCUGAGUUCAGACCGGAGAAAUCCAGGUCAGUUUCUAUCUAU
Molecule: ribosomal RNA, 581 nt
Filed under: Geotrypetes seraphini (Gabon caecilian)
Lineage: Eukaryota; Metazoa; Chordata; Amphibia; Gymnophiona; Dermophiidae
Description: partial 16S ribosomal RNA
Rfam family: Bacterial large subunit ribosomal RNA
Source: RNAcentral